UACGGAGGGAGCGAACGUUGUUCGGAAUCACUGGGUGUAAAGGGUGCGUAGGCGGCCUUGUAUGUCGGAGGUGAAAUCUACCGGCUCAACCGGUCAAAUUGCCUCCGAAACUGCUUGGCUUGAGUCCGGAAGGGGAGGGUGGAAUUCCUGGUGUAACGGUGAAAUGUGCAGAUAUCAGGAGGAACACCGGUGGCGAAGGCGGCCCUCUGGUCCGGUACUGACGCUGAUGCACGAAAGCCAGGGGAUCAAACGGG
Molecule: ribosomal RNA, 254 nt
Filed under: uncultured bacterium
Lineage: Bacteria
Also listed under: 1 other name
Description: partial 16S ribosomal RNA
Rfam family: Bacterial small subunit ribosomal RNA
Source: RNAcentral